This 3714-nucleotide long non-coding RNA is filed under the name Marmota monax (woodchuck). The record is from RNAcentral. Lineage: Eukaryota; Metazoa; Chordata; Mammalia; Rodentia; Sciuridae.
UCCAGCUUAGCUGCCAUUUUUUAAGAACACAACAAUAGCAUGGAAGUACCCUGUGCUCAUCUCUCUCCAUUUUGUAGGCAAGAAGACAACCACUUUCACCCUAAAUCUCAGGGUUAUUUUAAAUUACAGGUAAUGAAAAAAUCCAAAGUCUCUUGAAUUCUUCCAUAGCAGUAGUGCUACAUGAGUGUUGGGUCCACACAUUUUGAAGAGUACCUCCUUUUUUGCAUCUUUUUAGCUGACCUAAAAACAUAAAAGAUUGAUUUAGACCUAAAUCAGGGUCACUAUGGUCAAUUGUGUGAUCAUCAGACUGUAGAUUCCAAAAUUUCUUGUUUAGAUUGAGAAUGAAGAACUGCCCUUGCUAAUGUAGGUAUCAAUAAAACAACACAAAACAACAGCCAUACAAGUUUGUUGGACUACACUAGGAAUGUGGGCUGAUAAAAGAUCAGAUUAGUCUAUGUUCUCCAGAGAAUAGGAAUCAAUAGCUCUCUAUGGCUUCUUGGAGCGUUCCCAAUAUAUUAAUCAGAAAUUUUUUAGGUUCAAGUAAUAGAAACUCACUCCAACUAGCUGGACCAAAAUCUACUUAAGUUUCUCACAGAUUUGAAGCUAUAGGAACCCAGAUCUCAGAACCCAAUAUUGCCAGGAUUCUCUUUGCCUCUUCUCCACUGUUUCCCUCUUUCUCCUCACUCAUUCUCAAUCUCCACUCCUCACCCUGAGAAUGAGACGGACUAAGAGCAUUUUCUUCUUUUGCUUUAUAUUGCAAAUAACCUUUGCUGUUUUAAAAAAUAACCACUUUCCAGAGAAAUUUAUGGCUUCCCAACUUUGUAACUGCAGCCAAAAUUAAUUUUCCUUUCCUACCAUCUACCUGCCAAUAUUGGCAAAGGAUUUUAUUGGUUCACCUUAGGUCAUGACUCUCCUAUUGGAAGCUUCAAUGUGGCCUAGGGUGUCAGGUAACAGGAUAGUCCAAGCCUGAGUCACAUUCCCAUCAUGACUGAAAGAAAGUAGCUGGGAGGUGCUAUCUCUUGGAGGCCAGAUAUAUUGAUUGAAAAUAUGUCCAGAACCACAUGAAAUUUAGGGAGAAAGAUGAUUUCUCAAAGAAAGGGACACUAAGCCAACAACUACAACAAAUAGCAUAUCUAUUGCCAUUGGUUGAAUGUUUGGCUUUUUCCUUCAUAUAAAUAAAAUUGGAUUUUUCAAAGUUUUUUUUUUUAAUUUUAUUGUAUUCUUUUGUUCCAUGAGUAUUUGGCUUCAAUUCCAUCCUUGAGAUUAGUGUAUCUCUGGCUGAUGUGUAUAAAGCGUCAGGUGGCUAGAAAAAGAGCAUUGUGAAUUAUAUUCAUUAUGAGAAUCAGAGCAAAUAGGUGACCCCCCCAAACAAGUACCAUGACAUAGAUGGAAACAUGGAAUGGUAAAUGAAAUAUGGGCAUGAAAAUUGGGCUUUGCCUCUUAUUAGGUGGUGACUUAAACAAGUAGCUUAAUGUUUCUGAGAUGCUUCAACAAUAUAAAUGGUUGUAAUAGCCAUCUCACAGGAUUUUUAUCAGGGUAUGGGGAUACAAAGAAAAUGUUUUGCAUAGUACCAAAACAUGGUGCUUAGGAGAUGUUGUUACUUUGUCCCUAACACCUAUACACCCAAUCUCCAAACUUUCUCACUCUGUGUUGUACAGGUCAAGUGGAAAGGUUUAUAGGAAACAUUGAUCAGUGAUCCUUGAAACAGUGAUCCUUGACAUACAUGACUUCCCAAGCAUUCUGAGAAGCAAUCAAGUGGAAAAUCAUGAGGAGGGUAAGACAAAACCAGAUGGCCCUAUGCAUCUAGAAGAUGUUGUUCCAGUAAAGAUGGCCUGAGCACCAGAAGCACUUCAGCAACCUCUGAGCAGAGGGAAAAAAAGAACAGAUAUAAUAUUGCAAAGAUUGCACAACUUAAGUGGCUCUCCCAAAGAGUACUUCAUUGACUCCUUGAUUGAAAGAAGGCCUUCUUGACUAUCUACUGCUCUAUACCCAGGACCUGGAAGUGUCCCUUGCUAGUAACUGACACUCAAUAAAUAUAUGUUGAAUAAAAGGAAGACAGAGGAAAAGGAAAUGUUCUUUAUUCAGGUCAGAAAACCAGCAGAGAAGCAAAAUGAAAUAUAAAAUGAAGACCAUAUUUUACAGGGAGUAGUUCAGCUGGUGAGUCAUUGACUUGCUUUGCUGACAGUGUAAUUUUUAAGGGUGAGUAUGUAAUAAAAGGCCAAUUCUAGCUAUGGAGGAAGUAAUCAGUAGAUAUCAUUUAAAAGCAAAUUUAUUAAAGUAAUAGUUAAAUUGCACAAUUGUACCCAGCAAAUGCUUAUUUCAAUUCCAAAAGAAAAAAAAUAGUGUACCAUGUGGUUAGGAGAAUUAAAGUCUCUCAUCUCUUAGUAAAAAAUUAUCCCAAGACCACUUGCUUAGUUCCUGCUAUGGGCAAGAGAGUAUUUAACUCUUCUACCAUGAAGUAAUUAUUAUUGUACCAUCUUACAUAUGAAAAACUGAGACUCAAAGGUGGAAAAUGACUAGUCUAAGCUCAUAUAACUGGCCCAAAGUCAUCCAAUUUAAAUCCUAGACAAUCUUCCUUUAUGAAAUGUAGAGACACAUUACCUCUAUGAAAUAUAUUGUUCAAAAAUCGCCAACAAAUACAUGAAAAAAAUGUUCAACAUCUUCAGCAAUUAGGAAAAUGCAAAUCAAAACUAUACUGAGAUUUCAUCUCAUUGCAGUAAGAAUGGCAGCCAUCAAGAAUACGAAUGAUAAUAAAUGCUGGAGAGGAUUUAGGGUAAAGGAAUAAUUUUACACUGCUGGAAUGGUAAAUUAGUACAAUCACUGUGAAAAUCAGUAUGGAUUUUCCUGAAAAGACUAGGAAUGGAAGCACCAUAUGACCCAGCUCUCCUACUCCUUGGUGUAUAUCAUAAAGAAUUAAAGUGAGCGUACCAUAGUGAUGCAUGCAUCCUGAUGUUUACAGCAGCCUAAUUCACAAUAGCCAAGUCAUGGAAACAGUCUAGGUGCCCAACAACAGAUGAAUGGAUAAAGAAAAUUUGCGAUAUAUACAUGAUGGAAUUUUAUUCAGUCAUAAAACAGAGUGAAAUUAUAUCAUUUGCAGGAAAAUGGUUGGAACUUGAGACCAUGAUGUUAAGUAAAAUAAGGGAAACAAAAAGUCAAAGGUUAUAUCUUUUCUCUCACAUGUGGAAGCUAGAGAAGAAAAAGGAAAAGAAAGAUGUGUGGGGAGGGAAUCUCAUGAAAAUAGAAGGGAAAACAGUAGAAUAAAGGAAGGAGUGCAGAGGAAGGGAGGAUCAAGGGAAAGAGGAGGUACUGAGGAGCAAAAUUGACCAAAUUAUAUUGUUAUAUUGUGUGCAGGCAUAAAUAUGUAACAAUGAAUUCCACUGUUAUACAUAAUUAUAAUGCACCAAAAAAUAAAUUAGAAAAAAAGAAAUAUUGUUCAAACUUAUAAACCACCUUAUUAAAUAUUAAGAAUUUUAUCAAGCUUCUCUAUGUACUAUUAUUGAAAAGUUUCUCUUAAAAUGAAAUGCUUUCAUUUUAAUCCUGUUUCUAAUGGAGUUCUAUUAUAAUAUUCAAAGUACAUUUCAUAGAACAGUAGGGCCCAGGGCAUAAUAGAAACAUUCUUACUCAAAUAGAACUCUUUAAAAAAUCAUGUUCUAGAUAAAGUUAAUGUAUAAUGAUAAAAUAUUCAUGUAAACCAAGCCACACAAUUCAAACCAA